UGCUCUAAUAUGAGAGCUCCGGACUUUUAAUCCGUAGGUUGUGGGUUCGAGUCCCACGCGACCCACCA
This 68-nucleotide transfer RNA is filed under the name Actinomadura algeriensis. Its description in RNAcentral is "tRNA-Lys". The stretch from base 2 to 57 matches the Rfam family "tRNA", at positions 10 to 63 of the family's 71-position model. From Rfam's summary of the family: Transfer RNA (tRNA) molecules are approximately 80 nucleotides in length. The record is from RNAcentral. Lineage: Bacteria; Bacillati; Actinomycetota; Actinomycetes; Streptosporangiales; Thermomonosporaceae.